Molecule: microRNA, 23 nt
Filed under: Mus musculus (house mouse)
Lineage: Eukaryota; Metazoa; Chordata; Mammalia; Rodentia; Muridae
Description: Mmu-Mir-430-P3_5p* (star (passenger))
Source: RNAcentral
ACUUAAACGUGGUUGUACUUGCU